CCCUGCCGCCCCGCAUGUCCUCCCAUCGCGCCGCCAAGCCGUGUCGCCGCCCUGCUCCACAUCCUCGCGGACAUCCUCGACACUGCUGCGCGACCCCGCGUGCUCACGUUCCAGCGUCGUCGCCUCUUGCCGCCAUGGCUGCCCCCGACCUUCUCUGCCAGCCCGGACAUUUCCAGCACGAUCUCUGACGAUGUUGCCCCGCCGUCUCCUGGGCUCCAGCUUCUCCUUGUACCACGCCUCCAGCUCCUCCUCCCUGCGAAAUCCUUAGGCCCCAGCUGGUUAAUUGGAUCGGCCGCCGUCACGUGGCUCCUCUGUUCUGGAGAACGAGCGGAUGGAGCAGAGCUCGAUCUAUCCAAGUCAAAACGUGUACCGGGGUGUUCUCGUCAUAGUGUGUGGGACUGGUCAGUCAACGGGCAAAUGAUAAGAGUGAUAAAGAAAAGAGGGGCAAAAAAAUAAGAUCAAAGUAAAGAAGGGCAAUUCAUAGAGGUACCAAGUAAAGAGGGGCAAAUAAUAAAAUUUCCCCCUUACCAGGCCAUCCGAAAUCGCUCCCUCACUUCACCACGCGCGCAGCUCCGAUCUGUGUUGUCUUUGCCAGAACAAAGCCCCGACGCGUUGAUCCAUGUGAUCUAGUGAUGCCAUCGCCCUCAUCCCCAUCGAGUGACCCCGCAUCGGCGAUCUCGACGACCUCCAACUUGUCCAUCAGCCUCGUCGAUGAACUGCAGCGAUCCUGCUCCCUGGAUCACCCUAUAGCAGAUCCAACAAUUUAGUUGGUAUUUUAUUUUGUUGUUCCUUCAUCUUUCCCCACUUUAUGCUGUCUCUGGUCAAUGGAAUUUGGGGAGCUCGGUGUGUGCAAACUGCCUUGGUACAGACGUACACUGGAUGGGAAUUGCUCUGAUAAGUGUUAUCUCUGAUAAGUCAUGUUUUAGAUGUGGUUUCAGUCAUUUACAUUGGUAUUACUCUAUCUUUGGUUUCAGAGUGUUCCAUGUUAACCUAGUAUGCUCUGAUCUUCAGAAUUCAGAUUAUAUAUGCCUACUCCUAACUGAAAUUUGAGUGCGAUACUAUCUAAAUUAGUACUUCUAAACUAUGUGCCCAUAUUCUGUACAACUUGUAGUACAAGUCCAUUCUUUUGUUAAUGUCCGUUGUUGUGCAAUACAUGUCCAUUAUCAUUUGGCUAUUUCAGGAUAAUGAGGCGUGUGAGCAUAGGAUCUAGCUAGGCAGCAGGAUCUGUUGAGGUAGAUUAAGAAAGAGAUCAAGGAAGCUCAAGGUACAGAACUGUCUUAUAUGUGGCGCAGCUAUCUAGCCAAGUUACUCCUAGAUGUUAUGAGGACAUGCAUGUUAUUGAUGCUAUGUGGGAUAACUAAGAAGAGAACAUCUGUGAGUGAUAUGAACAUUUUGGAAUCUCUAAUUAUAUGAACAUGUACGUCUCUUUUAUCUAUUGCACUUUUCUGUAGCUAUAUCGUAAAAUUGCAAUGUAACUUCUGCAUCAUAGAUGAGAAAUGGCACUGCAGUUUUGUUUGCGAUAUUAUGCUUUAAUCCAGUAUUUAAUAAAAAAAUCUAUCAUUUCUUAAAAAUAACAUGAAGCACGGUAUCAUUAUAUAUUCCUUUUAUUAUGGCAGGACAAGUAGUAAACUGACUUCUGAGCAACAUGUGAUGUGUCCUUGUUAUAUUAGUUUGAUAUGCUCUCAUCUUGACUCUCCUUUUCAGAAGGGGCAACUCAUAAAUAAUUAAAUAUAUGUGAGCAAGUGGGUAAGCUAUAAUGCUCCAAGAUUUGUUCCAGAUGUGUAAUACUGGCCUGCUCUUGAGAUAUAAGUUAACUACACUGCUCGUGCCCACUGAUAGUUUAGCUUUGCGGUAUUGUGUCUGACCAUUAUAUAGAUCUAGUCAAUUAAAUGAUUCUGAUCUACUGUUAAAUCAGUCCUUUCAUAUGUUUAUCAUAGUUAUUUCUUCUUUCAGUAUUUCCUAUGUCUUUGAUCUGUGUGGUACCGACUUGACAUCUAGGUGCCAUGGGCUGUUUUAAAUGCAAGGGACAGCAAAGAUUAUCUUGCAUGACUUAACUUUGGCAUGCUACUGAACUGUUCGAAGAAAUUCCAAGCAAUAUGUGGAUGUGAAUUUAAAGGCCGAAAAUAUCAGCAAGAACCGUCACAUUCAAAUGUUACAUUAGAGGACACCGGACGAGAAGGAAUGUAUAUAGGAUUAGAUAGAGUAUCAUAUUAUGAUCCAAGAUUGUAAGAUGUGUACUCUUAAGAUAAUUUUCAUUUGUGGAUGGUGAUUUUAAUUAUAAAUAUAUAAAUGUUUCUGCA
This is a long non-coding RNA of Lolium perenne, 2300 nucleotides long. RefSeq lists it as uncharacterized. The record is from RefSeq and is a predicted model, not a curated record. NCBI's taxonomy places the organism in Eukaryota, Viridiplantae, Streptophyta, Magnoliopsida, Poales, Poaceae.